GCUACCUUCCCCUCGACCCGCGAUCUCUCCGCGCGCCUCUCAGACUGUGCGAGUGUGCGCUUGCUGUAAAGAAGUGAUUCAUGACCAGAGAAACCAAGGAGUAGCACACUUGUUGCACAGCUUCUUUGAAGUUCUCCGCCUGUUGCUGACUUGCCACGUCACGUCGCGACCUUGAAACACGUGCUACGGUGUUAUUUGUAAUAUUGCACUAAGUAAAAACUUAAGUUUUUGAUUAUUGUCGUGGUCAAUUUAAAAGGACUGCCAACAUUAUAAAUUGAAAAUAAAUUUUAAUAAUUCA
Molecule: long non-coding RNA, 298 nt
Organism: Melitaea cinxia (Glanville fritillary)
Lineage: Eukaryota; Metazoa; Arthropoda; Insecta; Lepidoptera; Nymphalidae
Exons: 2
Source: RefSeq, a predicted model, not a curated record